UACGAAGGGGGCUAGCGUUGCUCGGAAUCACUGGGCGUAAAGGGUGCGUAGGCGGGUCUUUAAGUCAGGGGUGAAAUCCUGGAGCUCAACUCCAGAACUGCCUUUGAUACUGAGGAUCUCGAGUUCGGGAGAGGUGAGUGGAACUGCGAGUGUAGAGGUGAAAUUCGUAGAUAUUCGCAAGAACACCAGUGGCGAAGGCGGCUCACUGGCCCGAUACUGACGCUGAGGCACGAAAGCGUGGGGAGCAAACAGG
RNAcentral lists this ribosomal RNA (253 nucleotides) under uncultured bacterium. RNAcentral describes it as "partial 16S ribosomal RNA". It matches the Rfam family "Bacterial small subunit ribosomal RNA", at positions 524 to 776 of the family's 1533-position model. The record is from RNAcentral.